RNAcentral lists this ribosomal RNA (468 nucleotides) under uncultured bacterium. RNAcentral describes it as "partial 16S ribosomal RNA". It matches the Rfam family "Bacterial small subunit ribosomal RNA", at positions 28 to 507 of the family's 1533-position model. The record is from RNAcentral.
GACGAACGCUGGCGGCGUGCUUAACACAUGCAAGUCGAACGGAAAGGCCCUGCUUUUGUGGGGUGCUCGAGUGGCGAACGGGUGAGUAACACGCGAGUAACCUGCCCUUGACUUUGGGAUAACUUCAGGAAACUGGGGCUAAUAUCGGAUAGGAGCUCCUGCUGCAUGGUGGGGGUUGGAAAGUUUCGGCGGUUGGGGAUGGUCUCGCGGCUUAUCCGCUUGUUGGUGGGGUAGUGGCUUACCAAGGCUUUGACGGGUAGCCGGCCUGAGAGGGUGACCGGCCACAUUGGGACUGAGAUACGGACCAGACUCCUACGGGAGGCAGCAGUGGAGAAUCUUGCACAAUGGGCGGGAGCCAGAUGCAGCAACGCCGGGUGCGGGAUGACGGCUUUCGAGUUGUGAACCGAUGUCGCCUGUGACGAGGCGUGAGUGACGGUAAUGGGUAAAGAAGCACCGGCUAACUACGUG